Molecule: ribosomal RNA, 236 nt
Filed under: Clostridium botulinum
Lineage: Bacteria; Bacillati; Bacillota; Clostridia; Eubacteriales; Clostridiaceae
Description: partial 23S ribosomal RNA
Rfam family: Bacterial large subunit ribosomal RNA
Source: RNAcentral
GCCCAAACCAGAAACUUGUUUCUGGGGUUGUGGAUAGAUCAUAAAAGAAGAGGUAUCUUAAUCGAAGAGGGCUGGAACGCCCUACCAUAGAAGGUAAUAGUCCUGUAGGUAAAAAGAGAAAACUUCGAGAUCUAAUCCAGAGUACCACGAGACACGUGAAACCUUGUGGGAAGCAGGGAGGACCACCUCCCAAGGCUAAAUACUACCUAGUGACCGAUAGUGAAGCAGUACCGUGA